This is a long non-coding RNA of Solanum stenotomum, 300 nucleotides long. RefSeq lists it as uncharacterized. NCBI's taxonomy places the organism in Eukaryota, Viridiplantae, Streptophyta, Magnoliopsida, Solanales, Solanaceae. The record is from RefSeq and is a predicted model, not a curated record. The transcript is spliced from 2 exons.
UAGUGUUAUUUUUUAAUGGGCAGUAUCUAUUAGGUAGAUUAUGAAAAUUUCUUUUAUUGGUAAUGUAUUUAUGUUUCUUCCAUAAAUAACUAUAACCAAUUUAUAAAUAAGGCAAACAAUUAAGCAUUCAAAUUAAAUCUUCAAAGAUGGUAGAUAAACAUCUGAACAACAAGUCAAUAUUUUCAAUUAAAUUCUCAGAGGAUCAAGAGUUGUGGAACCAUCAAAGCAAGAAAAAAUGAUGAAUAUUAUUGAUCAGGAACAAGUGAGUUCACGUGUUAUCAAUAAAGUUUAUUUAUUCAA